Molecule: non-coding RNA, 143 nt
Organism: Capsicum annuum
Lineage: Eukaryota; Viridiplantae; Streptophyta; Magnoliopsida; Solanales; Solanaceae
Source: Rfam
GUGAGCCGUGUGAUAGAAAACCUUCCCGCACGGUUCAGAGAGCACUAAAUUAGAAUGAGAGGUUUAGCACCACAUCGUUGAAUGCAAGGGGAGUUCGCUCGAUUCAUAGAUUGGUCCGACUCAUAAUUCACUUCUGACCCCAU